GACGAACGCUGGCGGCGUGCCUAAUACAUGCAAGUCGAACGCUUCUUUCCUCCCGAGUGCUUGCACUCCAUUGGAAAGAGGAGUGGCGGACGGGUGAGUAACACGUGGGUAACCUACCCAUCAGAGGGGGAUAACACUUGGAAACAGGUGCUGAUACCGCAUAACAGUUUAUGCCGCAUGGCAUAAGAGUGAAAGGCGCUUUCGGGUGUCGCUGAUGGAUGGACCCGCGGUGCAUUAGCUAGUUGGUGAGGUAACGGCUCACCAAGGCCACGAUGCAUAGCCGACCUGAGAGGGUGAUCGGCCACACUGGGACUGAGACACGGCCCAGACUCCUACGGGAGGCAGCAGUAGGGAAUCUUCGGCAAUGGACGAAAGUCUGACCGAGCAACGCCGCGUGAGUGAAGAAGGUUUUCGGAUCGUAAAACUCUGUUGUUAGAGAAGAACAAGGACGUUAGUAACUGAACGUCCCCUGACGGUAUCUAACCAGAAAGACACGGCUAACUACGUG
Molecule: ribosomal RNA, 508 nt
Filed under: uncultured bacterium
Lineage: Bacteria
Description: partial 16S ribosomal RNA
Rfam family: Bacterial small subunit ribosomal RNA
Source: RNAcentral